GGUGGCUGUAUGUACCAGUCU
Molecule: microRNA, 21 nt
Filed under: Marchantia polymorpha subsp. ruderalis
Lineage: Eukaryota; Viridiplantae; Streptophyta; Marchantiopsida; Marchantiales; Marchantiaceae
Source: RNAcentral